GAUGAACGCUAGCGAUAGGCUUAACACAUGCAAGUCGAGGGGUAACGUGUUGUAAGCUUGCUUCCGAUGACGACGACCGGCGGAUGGGUGCGUAACGCGUAUGCAACUUGCCUCACAGUGGAGAAUAACCCGGAGAAAUCCGGACUAAUACUCCAUACACUCUUAAGUACGCCUGUACAUGAGAGGAAAGAUUUAUCGCUGUGAGAUAGGCAUGCGUCCUAUUAGGUAGUUGGUGAGGUAACGGCUCACCAAGCCGACGAUAGGUAGGGGUGAUGAGAGGCAGAUCCCCCACAUUGGGACGGAGACACGGCACAAACUGCUACGGGAGGCAGCAGUGAGGAAUCUUGGUCAAUGGAGGAAACUCUGAACCAGCCAAGUCGCGUGAAGGAAGAAUGUCCUCAGGAUUGUAAACUUCUUUAGCGAGCGAGUAAGGACUUCCACGUGAUGGGAGUUUGAAAGUAGCUCGAGAAUAAGUAUCGGCUAACUCCGUG
Molecule: ribosomal RNA, 491 nt
Filed under: uncultured bacterium
Lineage: Bacteria
Description: partial 16S ribosomal RNA
Rfam family: Bacterial small subunit ribosomal RNA
Source: RNAcentral